CUGGCCUUGACAUGCCACUAACGAAGCAGAGAUGCAUUAGGUGCCCGAAAGGGAAAGUGGACACAGGUGCUGCAUGGCUGUCGUCAGCUCGUGUCGUGAGAUGUUGGGUUAAGUCCCGCAACGAGCGCAACCCUUGCCAUUAAUUGCCAUCAUUUAGUUGGGCACUUUAAUGGGACUGCCGGUGACAAACCGGAGGAAGGUGGGGAUGACGUCAAGUCCUCAUGGCCCUUAUGGCCAGGGCUUCACACGUAAUACAAUGGUCGGUACAGAGAGUUGCCAACCCGCGAGGGGGAGCUAAUCUCAGAAAGCCGAUCGUAGUCCGGAUUGUUCUCUGCAACUCGAGAGCAUGAAGUCGGAAUCGCUAG
Molecule: ribosomal RNA, 365 nt
Filed under: uncultured Methylophilus sp.
Lineage: Bacteria; Pseudomonadati; Pseudomonadota; Betaproteobacteria; Nitrosomonadales; Methylophilaceae
Description: bacterial SSU rRNA
Rfam family: Bacterial small subunit ribosomal RNA
Source: RNAcentral